Panthera uncia (snow leopard) is the source of this 1088-nucleotide long non-coding RNA. RefSeq lists it as uncharacterized. Lineage: Eukaryota; Metazoa; Chordata; Mammalia; Carnivora; Felidae. The transcript is spliced from 7 exons. The record is from RefSeq and is a predicted model, not a curated record.
ACAGCAGCCCAUCAGUCAACGGCCUUGGAUGCUUCCACAGCUGAUUUUUAAUUGAGAGCUUCAGAUGGAUUAUAGAGAGGGCUUAGAGGAACCACAGUCCGUGAGGCCCCCGGAGACUCUCUCAUCUCCUCCUCUAGCCGUUCUUUUCGCUGCCAAACAAAAGAGAAGGGGCCAGGUGGCACGUGGAGUCAGAAGGCAAAGUGGGAGUUGUUAAAGACAGAUUACUGCACCAAGGGUAGAGUUUGAUUGAGAGGUCAGGAGAGGACUCAGCCAUCAAAGGCAUCCAACUUGAAGACUAGAGAUACCCCCAGGGGCAAGGAAGUAUAUGCUUUGAUGGGGGUAAACCCUGAGUGGCUCCUACAACAGGAUUGAGAAGGGUAAUUUUGCAGGAGCUGUCCUGAGGGCUGGAUGAACUCCCUGGCCCUGCAGAAGAAACCACUGUCUGAUGCCUGUCUGCCUGCUUCCCAGUGGUCGCAGCUACUUUAAGAGGUGCCAUGUGGACUAGUCUUUCACCAGCCACCGUGGACUCUGGCAGAAGGUGCCAUCAUUACUGUUAAGAACUGCAUUUAGAAAUAAGCAGGAAGACUGGAGGGGUUAUUUUGAGCCUCAAAUAGUAUUAAGUUGGAACCUGAAUCUUCUGAAAUGACAGCCUGACUUCUGAGUGGCCGUGCUGAGGAUCUUGCUGCUCUCCGUCGGAGGGCAGCCUCCGUUUCCUGGUCACCGGAACAAGAUUUACUGAGCACGUGCUAUGUGUCUGUCGGGAGUGUGAAGCACUGGGGAGUCAAACAAGAAAGGCUGCUUGUUCAGCCCUCGAGCAACUCACACACCUGUUCCGGAAGCGCACACGGUGCCACGUGAUCUUACAAGAGAGGGCUCAAGGGACCACGACAGGCUCAGGCCAUUACCCAUGGAACUGGCCAGGGAGAGCCUACCUGUCAAAUUGGCUGGAAUGUGGCAAGAUAAACUCCUGGUGAGUCCUUCUGUGACACCCUAGGGCUUUGGUGACAGAGUUAAUUAAUCAAGACACCAAUGUCAAAAUUAAAGUGAGGAGGAAAAGUCAAUUAGUGAUUGAAUAGCUAUGAGGAGAC